This 74-nucleotide transfer RNA is filed under the name Rhodospirillaceae bacterium. RNAcentral describes it as "tRNA-Gln". It matches the Rfam family "tRNA". Rfam says of the family: Transfer RNA (tRNA) molecules are approximately 80 nucleotides in length. Their secondary structure includes four short double-helical elements and three loops (D, anti-codon, and T loops). Lineage: Bacteria; Pseudomonadati; Pseudomonadota; Alphaproteobacteria; Rhodospirillales; Rhodospirillaceae. The record is from RNAcentral.
UGGGGCGUGGCCAAGCGGUAAGGCAGCGGUUUUUGGUACCGCGAUCCCAGGUUCGAAUCCGUGCGCCCCAGCCA